ACACCUGGAAACAGAUGCUAAUACCGUAUAACAGAGAAAACCGCAUGGUUUUCUUUUAAAAGAUGGCUCUGCUAUCACUUCUGGAUGGACCCGCGGCGUAUUAGCUAGUUGGUGAGGUAAAGGCUCACCAAGGCAGUGAUACGUAGCCGACCUGAGAGGGUAAUCGGCCACAUUGGGACUGAGACACGGCCCAGACUCCUACGGGAGGCAGCAGUAGGGAAUCUUCCACAAUGGACGCAAGUCUGAUGGAGCAACGCCGCGUGAGUGAAGAAGGGUUUCGGCUCGUAAAGCUCUGUUGUUAAAGAAGAACGUGGGUAAGAGUAACUGUUUACCCAGUGACGGUAUUUAACCAGAAAGCCACGGCUAACUACGUGCCAGCAGCCGCGGUAAUACGUAGGUGGCAAGCGUUAUCCGGAUUUAUUGGGCGUAAAGCGAGCGCAGGCGGUCUUUUAAGUCUAAUGUGAAAGCCUUCGGCUCAACCGAAGAAGUGCAUUGGAAACUGGGAGACUUGAGUGCAGAAGAGGACAGUGGAACUCCAUGUGUAGCGGUGAAAUGCGUAGAUAUAUGGAAGAACACCAGUGGCGAAGGCGGCUGUCUGGUCUGCAACUGACGCUGAGGCUCGAAAGCAUGGGUAGCGAACAGGAUUAGAUACCCUGGUAGUCCAUGCCGUAAACGAUGAUUACUAAGUGUUGGAGGGUUUCCGCCCUUCAGUGCUGCAGCUAACGCAUUAAGUAAUCCGCCUGGGGAGUACGACCGCAAGGUUGAAACUCAAAAGAAUUGACGGGGGCCCGCACAAGCGGUGGAACAUGUGGUUUAAUUCGAAGCUACGCGAAGAACCUUACCAGGUCUU
Molecule: ribosomal RNA, 850 nt
Filed under: Pediococcus pentosaceus
Lineage: Bacteria; Bacillati; Bacillota; Bacilli; Lactobacillales; Lactobacillaceae
Description: bacterial SSU rRNA
Rfam family: Bacterial small subunit ribosomal RNA
Source: RNAcentral